This 79-nucleotide transfer RNA is filed under the name Paramuricea clavata. Its description in RNAcentral is "tRNA-Thr". The record is from RNAcentral. Lineage: Eukaryota; Metazoa; Cnidaria; Anthozoa; Malacalcyonacea; Plexauridae.
GCCUGGUAGCUCAGUUGGCAGAGCAUUGGACCAGUAUCCCAAAGGUCGCGGGUUCCAUUCCAUGCACCGUGGUCAGGCA